GCCAGCCGCCGCGGUAAUACGGAGGGUGCAAGCGUUAAUCGGAAUUACUGGGCGUAAAGCGCACGCAGGCGGUUUGUUAAGCUAGAUGUGAAAGCCCCGGGCUCAACCUGGGAUGGUCAUUUAGAACUGGCAGACUAGAGUUUUGGAGAGGGGAGUGGAAUUCCAGGUGUAGCGGUGAAAUGCGUAGAUAUCUGGAGGAACAUCAGUGGCGAAGGCGACUCUCUGGCCAAAGACUGACGCUCAUGUGCGAAAGUGUGGGUAGCGAACAGGAUUAGAUACCCUGGUAGUCCACACCGUAAACGCUGUCUACUAGCUGUUUGUGAAUUUAAUUCGUGAGUAGCGAAGCUAACGCGCUAAGUAGACCGCCUGGGGAGUACGGCCGCAAGGUUAAAACUCAAAUGAAUUGACGGGGGCCCGCACAAGCGGUGGAGCAUGUGGUUUAAUUCGAUGCAACGCGAAGAACCUUACCUACACUUGACAUGCAGAGAACUUUCCAGAGAUGGAUUGGUGCCUUCGGGAACUCUGACACAGGUGCUGCAUGGCUGUCGUCAGCUCGUGUCGUGAGAUGUUGGGUUAAGUCCCGCAACGAGCGCAACCCUUGUCCUUAGUUGCCAGCAUUAAGUUGGGCACUUUAAGGAGACUGCCGGUGACAAACCGGAGGAAGGUGGGGGACGACGUCAAGUCAUCAUGGCCCUUACGUGUAGGGCUACACACGUGCUACAAUGGCAUGUACAGAGGGAAGCGAGACAGUGAUGUGGAGCGGACCCCUUAAAGCAUGUCGUAGUCCGGAUUGGGAGUCUGCACCCGACCCCAUGAAGUUCGGA
This 824-nucleotide ribosomal RNA is filed under the name uncultured bacterium. RNAcentral's name for it is "SSU rRNA". It matches the Rfam family "Bacterial small subunit ribosomal RNA", at positions 507 to 1331 of the family's 1533-position model. The record is from RNAcentral.